This 492-nucleotide ribosomal RNA is filed under the name uncultured bacterium. Its description in RNAcentral is "partial 16S ribosomal RNA". It matches the Rfam family "Bacterial small subunit ribosomal RNA", at positions 29 to 507 of the family's 1533-position model. The record is from RNAcentral.
AGUGAACGCUGGCGGUAGGCCUAACACAUGCAAGUCGAACGGCAGCACAGUAAGAGCUUGCUCUUACGGGUGGCGAGUGUCGGACGGGUGAGGAAUACAUCGGAAUCUACUUUUUCGUGGGGGAUAACGUAGGGAAACUUACGCUCAUACCGCAUACGACCUACGGGUGAAAGCAGGGGAUCUUCGGACCUUGCGCGAUCGAAUGAGCCGAUGUCGGAUUAGCUAGUUGGCGGGGUAAAGGCCCACCAAGGCGACGAUCCGUAGCUGGUCUGAGAGGAUGAUCAGCCACACUGGAACUGAGACACGGUCCAGACUCCUACGGGAGGCAGCAGUGGGGAAUAUUGGACAAUGGGAGCAAGACUGAUACAGCCAUACCGCGUGGGUGAAGAAGGCCUUCGGGUUGUAAAGCCCUUUUGUUGGGAAAGAAAAGCAGCAGGUUAAUACCCCGCUGUUCUGACGGUACCCAAAGAAUAAGCACCGGCUAAAUUCGUG